This 22115-nucleotide long non-coding RNA is filed under the name Durio zibethinus. RNAcentral's name for it is "long non-coding RNA (DZIB_LNC001010)". The record is from RNAcentral. Lineage: Eukaryota; Viridiplantae; Streptophyta; Magnoliopsida; Malvales; Malvaceae.
UGCCGAAUCGUAGACCGGAGAAGCAGCUAACAAGAGGCUAGCAGCCCUCAUCAAUAGCAGCGGAGUCGUUCACAAGAACUGCCUAUUCUAUCUUAUAUUCCGCAACCUAGAAAGCGAGAAAGAGAAGUCCUUUCAUUAAGCCGAAGUGAUCAACGAAGACCUAAGAGCGGAUGGCGAAUCCUUUAUCUCUUGGCUUGGGUUUACAAAUAUUAAAGAGAGGAACCUUGAAAUAGGAACUCCAAGGCAAUUAGUAUAUAUGUAUUGUAUAAGAUAAUUUAUGUAUUCGUAUUAUAUUUUACAUAAAAAUUAAAUUUUAUAAUUCAUGUCGAUAUAAAAAUAUAAAAUAUUUUUUUUUAUUUUAUUAAAUUUAUAUAUAAUUUUUUUUAAAUUAAAAUUGUAUAUUUUGUAUUUUUCAUGUAAUAUCAUCAUGUUGUGUUUUAAAUUACUAAAUAUAAAGACAAUCUAUUAUUCUUGGUGUGUGCACAUGUUAUUUUCUUGCACCUCUAAGUCAAAAAUCACCAUUAAUUAUAUAUUAUAAAUGUGAAAGAUUAAUUUAGCUUUGUGUGAUCUAUAUAGAAUUACAAACUAAACCAAAAAAAUUUAACAAAUUAACAAAAUUACAAACCAAACCAAAUAAAUAAACAAAAUUUCCGUCCAAACAAUACAUUUUUCAGCAAAUCCUUUAGUAGAAUCAUGAAUGUGAGAGAGCUUGUGUGGAUCUCCUUCCAAGUUCAAUUAGUUUUUUAAAACUAAUGCAUGCCCUUUUUCUAAAACCUUGUGCCUACUUCCACCUUAAUUCAUGAUUUGUUGCAUUUCUCUAAACGAGGAACCCAUAUUUCAAGAACCACUCAAGUGAAUGUUAUGUUUGAGAAGAUGAAUUUGAGAUUGGAUGAUCAAGUCUGUAACGUGUCAUAAUAUAUAGAUCCGUAAAUCUAUAACUAGAUUUAACAAAUGGAGUUGCCAUCAAUUUUUUUUACUAAAUGUGAUUGGUCACUUAAAAAAUCUAUCCUUUUAAAGAGCUCAUAAGCUUGACUAAGGGUCCCUAAAAGAAUAGAUUCGAGUUUACAAACCAAAACAGGGUUCGUGAGUUCGAUUACAUGUGGAUAAAGUUAUAACACUCCCACAUGCUCAUCCGAAUGAUGGUACCAUAUUAUUUUAAAUUUAUCCUAAAGUCUUGAAUCUAAUGGUUUCACAAUUUUAUGUUAAAUAUUGAAAAUAAUUAUAACAUUCUUCCAUCAAUCUAGUAGAAUUCUUAAAAAUAUUUUCUCACCUUAAGAAUAUUCAAGAAUCUCAUUUGUUUUCUUGAAGAGACUCCUCGUCGAAAAAAAAGUUUAUUUAUUAUUCUUUUUUAUUGAAAAUAUAUCUAAUUAUUCCAACAUUUGAGCCAAAUUAGAAAUUUUAUUUUUUUGAAUUUCUAAAUUUUCUACCAUUUGGGUCUAUUUAGAAAUUCUCUCUUUAUUUUUUUUUUUUAUUUCUAAAUUUUUCAUCAUUUGGGACAAUUUAGAAAUUUUUUUUUUUUUGAAAUUUUUAAAUUUUUCACCAUUUGGGCCUAUUUAGAAAUUCUUUUUAUUUUUUUUUUUUUAGAAAGAAAAUAAUAUGAUAAUUAUUUUUAUUAAAAUUUCAUUUAAAUUUUUUACUAUUUCAGACAAAUUUAAAGAAAUUUCUCACCUAGAGAUUUCUUAAGGAAUUUAUCAUUUGAAAUUUUUAAGAAUCUCAUCCUUGGAUAAUUAUCGAAUAUUUUCAACCCAAAUUUUUAUUUUUAUUAUUUUUAUUUUUUUGGAUUGAAAAUAAAUAUUAAUUAUUGUUAUUGAAACUUUAUCUAAAUUAUUCCACAAUUUGGGAUAAAUUUAAACAAAAUUUCUCAUCUAGAAAUUUUAUAAAAAUUUACCAUUUAAAAUUUCUAUAAAUUUCAUCAUUGGAUAAUUAAUAUUUAUUCUCAAACAAUAUUUUAUUAUUUUUUUUAAAUUUAAUCAUGCAAAAAAAACUAAAAAAAUCCAAAAAAAAACCCAAAAAUGAAUCGACUCGGCUUGUGGCUGUAAUUCAGCUUAGUUACAAGGAUCAGCUAAUACGCAGGUUAAAAGUGGGUCGUGCUGUGGGUCGGGUCACCCGAUGAAAAACACGUAGAUCCUAGGUCUUCUUAAACUCCAAAACAACGUCGUUUUGGUGACGUUAUAAAAUGCUGAGUUUCAGCUCCUCCCCUCAGAUUUCUCAUUCUCUUUCUUUCUCUUCCCCAUUUUCUUCUCUCAUUCUCUCUCUAAUUGGAUGAACUCCGAUUGAAUCAUUCAUCGAAUUCUGGAAAUCCCAUCGAAAUCUAGGUUAGGUUAUCAGAAGUUCACUGAAAAAUUCAAUCAGUGCCAAAAUCUUCAAACCAGAUUUUGGGAAACCUGUUAGAAAAUUCAAACAAUGCCAAAAACUAGCCAAAAAAUUUAACUAGCAUUGAAAAAUUCAUCAAAAACUAGAAAUUUUCUAGAUUUUUCCAAAAAACCCCCUUUUCCUAAACCCAAAAGUCUUCAAAAAAAUUUUUACUACUUUCUGCAUGAUGUGAUUCUAUGAUUUUUUUUUUGUUUUUUAUUUUUGCUCUUUUCAACACCCUUUUUUUUUUGCUUUUAUUUUUCUAUACAUUCUUUUGAUCUUUGUGGAAGCAUCUAUUUAUAGGGUUUUGAUUCAAAGAAUCCUAAACCUGAGAAGAGUUUCACUCCCUUUUAAUUUCAAUUUCAAUCUUUAAAUCCAAUCUAAACACCUCACAUAUAGUCCUGCACAAACUCAUAGUUUUUUUUUUCCAUUUUUUCCAUUUAUCAUUUAUUUAAUCAAUAGAAACCAAAUUGAGUAGAACCCCAAACAAAUUAGGGUAUCUAUAGCUGCCCCUCUUUGCACACUUUAUGUGAAACAAUAAUUGUGCAAAAACGUAAACAACCUAAUUAACUCAACACACUUAUUUUUGUUUGUUUUUUUGUUUUUUUUUAUUUUUUUUAAACUUAACAAAGCUCUUCUAAACAGUGGUUCAACGACUUUUGAAAAUAAAUUAAGCUCAUCUAAACAGAGGCACCAUAAUUUUUGAAAAAUAAAAUGCUCACCUAAAUAAAGGCACCACUACUUUGAAAAAUGCUCAUCUAAACAAAAGCACCACAACUUUUUGAAAAAUAAAUUGUUCCUCUAAACAGAAGCACCACAACUUUGUAAAAUAAAUUUCUCCUUUAAAUAGAGGCACCACAACUUUGAAAAAAAAAAAGCUCCUCUAAACAAAGGCACCAUAACUUUAAAAAAAUAAAAUGCUCCUCUAAAAAAAGGCACCACAACUUUGAAAAUCAAAAUGCUUUUUAAACAGAGACACUGUAACUUUGAAAAAAUAAAAUGCUCCUUGACGAUUAUGUCUAAGGGAGUCAUAAAUUAGAUCUGAUGAAAUUUGUAACGGGAACUCAAAUAUUCACAAUUUGAGCUCAAAAAUCAAAGAUUCAGAUUCGCAAGAACCUUUCAACUUCACAAGAAUUCAUUGAAAUUUUAUUCUCAAAAUUUUAGUUUCAUAAGAAUUCAAAUUUGCAAGAUUUCAAAAUUCGCAUUUGCAAAUUGUAAGAUUUGCAUCCAAUAUUUAAAGAUUUUCAUUUGAAUUUUAAAAAUUCAUAUCCAAAAGUUUAAAACUUCUCAUUCGAGUCCAAAGGCUCAUAUUUGACAAAUAAUUAAGGUUUCACACCUCAAAAUUCUCAUUUGAAAUUCAAAGAUUCUCAUUUGAGUUUAAAGAUUCACAUUAGACAAAUUUUGGGUUUCACACCUCAAAGAUUCUCAUUUGAGUUCGAAAAUUCACAUUCAACAAAUUUUGAGUUUCACACCUCAAAGAUUCUCAUUUGAAAUUCAAAGAUUCUCAUUUGAAAUUCAAAGAUUCACACUUGAAAACUCAAAACUCAAAAAUUCUCAUUUGAAAAUGCCUUAAAGAUUAUCAUUUAAGACUCAAAGAUUCUCAUUUGAAAACUCAAAGAUUCUCAUUUGAAAUUCAAAAAUUUUUAUUUUAGGAUUCACAAUCUUGUCUUAAAAGACCUUAUUAAAAGAUUCAAAAUUUCUUUUCUAGAUGACUAUCAAGCUUUUACCAAAGUCAAAAUUUUGUAUGUAAUAAAUGUCAUGAUCAAUGAUGCAAAUGCUUUCUUAAUGAUGCAAAUGCAAAAAUCUAGAUUCUCACAAUGCCAUAUUUUCAAUCAUGAUUCAAAUAUUUACUGCAUAAUGCAAAUGAAUAGCUAAACCAAAGUUUCAAAUAUUCUCCAAACAACAAUGCAAAUGCAAUGAAUAUAAUGUGGAUGUCAAUGUCAUGAAAUUCUAAUAAAAAUGGUAACAUGAUUCUCAAGACCCCAUCAUUUCACCUUUUUCCCAAUUUUAUCUUUUCAGCAAUCUAAAAUAAAUUUUGUCAAUCGAUUCUUGUCAUUUCCAUCACUUGAUCAUCAUUCACAAACUUCUCAGCAUUAGCAAUUUCAAAACAAGUUUCUGUCUCCUUCACUCGAUUGCCACCCAUUGGCUUCUCAGCAUAAACCAAUUUAGAACAAGUUUCGUUCAUUAAUCUAUAUUAUUUUAAUCAUUUAAUCAUAGCUAACAAGCUUUUUAGCACUAGCCAUUUCAUCAAUUGAUCCACAUUUUCCAUGACUUGACUCAUAGGCUUAUCAACACUAACAAAACAAAUUUCAUCCCUUGCUCUACACUAUUUUCAUCUUUUGACCACAACUCAUAAGUUAUGUUGACCAAUUCAUCCUCAUAUUCAUUACUUGGCCAUAUCACCUUUUCAAAUUUUACCCUUUCUUCAUCACCAAAUUUAUCAUUUGGUCACAACAUGCGUCCUUUCAAAUCAUAUUUUCAAGUUUUUACACUUUUUUCAUUUUUUCCCUUAUCAUCUUGGAUUCUUUUUCAAAGGAAUGCAAGCUUCUUUUAUGCACAUUGUCAUUCAUUUAUUAUCAUUUCAAAUCAUGACAAAUAUAAUGUAACCAUACAUUUUUUCGAUUUAUUCUGGGGAUACAGUAGUAAAAGAGCACAAGGAAAAUUGAGAGAAAAGUAAUUAAUGAGGAAUGAGUUUGUACAAAAAUAAUUGGGCAAAGAAUCAAAUUUAAAGCAUAUCCUUAUGAAUCGUAUUGAAUAAAUAGAAUAAUAAUAAUGAAUACUCAACAAUUUUUAACAUUAAUCCAGAAUUCUUUUUCAAAAACUCAUUCCAUUGGCUUUUCAAAAUCACAUUGAGCUUAUUGAACUUUGCCCUAGUUUUGAGGGAUCUUCAGAUAUCUUUAACCUUUCAUACAUGUGAACUAUCUAUCCAACUCUUAACUCAGAGAUUUUUUACCCAAAUAGCCCUUUCAGGUUUUCAAUUUGAGUUUUUCUUUUCUCUCAUUUUCAUCUUUUUUCCAUUCUUUCAUUUUUUUUUUCUUUUUUUUCUUUUUUUUCUUUUUCAUCUUUUGCCAUCCAUGAGUGGUAUCUCUCACACUUUAAUCUCUAAAGCAAUGUAGCACAAUUCCAUUAUUUCAUCACAAGUAUGCCUUAGUCCAACAUAUGAUCAUUCAAUUUGAUCAUUCACACUUAAUCCAAAUAGACUUUUAAAGGUUGUAAUGUAGGUUAUGGUGAGGGGUCAUAGGCUCAAAACAUGUGUUUAAAGGGUUCAAAACCAAAGAAUCAUUUCUUACCAUUUGAUACAACUUGGCAUUUUGCCCCAUUCCAUAUCAUUUCCCUACUUUUAUAAGCAACCAACUGAAGUCCAGGGUGAUUCCCAUAUAUCCCUUCAUGAAUUUCUCUUAAGACUUAGUUUGCUUCUUCGUCAUCCAUACAUCAUAAGUAGGAUAGGUUGAAAGAUUUUUUGUAUAAUUUUUUAUUAAUUAUCGUGUACCAAGAAACUUUUCUUAUUAAGAAUUUAGCUCAAACCCUAUCUUAAGUAGCUUUCCUAUAGUUAGUUAUGUAUUGAUGGAGGUCAUCCAAGUUUCGUUUUCCUUAAUCUCUCCAACCAGUUUCUAUUCAUUACUUUUUUGUGUCAAUUCUUCCACUAAAACUUGGCUUGAGUUCUCUAUUAUUAUCCUUAAAGCCAAUUUGGAUAGGGAGUCAACAAGUGAGUUUUUAGACCUUGGUAUUUUCUUCAACUCGACUUUUUGAAAACAAAUGAUAAGAGCCAGUGCUAUUUUUAAAUAUCUCUAGUUUCUUUUUCACGAGCUUCAAACUCACUAUUUAUCUAAUUGACCACUAAUUAAGAGUAGUUGUAUAUGAUUAUAUACUUAACAUUUAGUUUAACUACUAGUUUUAAGCCAAUUAUCAGUGCUUCAUGCUCGACCUCAUUAUUAGAUACCUUGAAUCUAAAUUUUACUAUGUACUGAUAUUGUAAGCCUUCUAGGCUUAUCAAAAUAAGGCCAACUUUUUGCUAUGGCUAAUGGUUGAUCUACUAACAAAAAGUUUCCAUUUUUUUUUCUAUAACUUUCUCAUUUUUUUUAGGUUGUUCAUCAAGAUGAGCCAAUGUGAGCUUUACAACUAAAUCUACUAGCACUUAAAAUUUUAGGGUCAACUUAGGGAGUAUAUGUAAGUCGAAUUCACUAAGCUCUACCUUUUACUUGAUUAGUCUUUUUUAUAGUUCUAGCUUUUAUAAGACCUACCUAAGCAAUCGGUUAGUCAAUACAUGAAUUGUGUGAGCUUGAAAAUAUGGCUUAAGUUUUUUGGCACACCUAAAUAAUCGCAUAUACUAAUUUUUCUUAGUGUUGUUUAUCUAUGACCCUGUUAGUACCUUGCUCAUAAAGUAGAUCAGCUUCUAUCUUCUUUUUUUUCGUGGAUCAAAAUUGAACUGAUGGCCUUGUCAGUAAUGGUUAGAUAUAGGUAUAAGAUCUCGUCAGACCUUGACUUGAAAAUGAUGGGUGAAGAGGAUAAGAACUCUUUAAGCUCAUCAAAUGCUUUUUGACAAUAAGGGUCCAUCUAAAAUUAAAGAUGUUAUAAGAUUUUAAAAAAUGAUAGGUAUCGUUCUAUCGACCUGGACAUAAACCUGCUCAAGAUGGCUAUUUUUUCAAUUAACCUUUACCUUUUUUAAUCAAGGUUGGUGCUUUUAUGUCUAAGAUUGCUUGAACUUUCUUUAGGUUCACCUCUAUCCCCCUUUGUUAAUCAUAUAGACAAGAAUUUACCUGACGUGACUCUAAAGGUGCACUUGCUUAGAUUAAGCCUUAUGUUGUAUUUUUUUCAAGAUGUUAAAGGUCUCUUCGAGAUCCUUCAAGUAUUCGAUCAGGCUCUUACUUUUUACUAUCAUGUUGACUACAUAUACCUCUAUAUUACAGUCUAUCUGAUUUUUUAAGACCUUCUUAACCAAUCUUUGGUAAGUCAUCCUUGUAUUUUUUAAGUCAAAAGGCAUCACAUUGUAGUAAUAAAGACCUUUCUCAGUGAUAAAAGUAGUUUUUUCCUAUCUUCCUUUUAAUAUUUAAUUUGGUUAUACUUAGAGUAGGCAUCCAUAAAACUAAAAAGGUCAUGCUAGGUACUGUUAUCCACUAAUCGAUCGAUGCUAAGAAAAAGAAUAUCAUUUUUUGGGUAUGUUUUGUUAACGUCGGUAAAGUCAACAUACAUCUUCUAUUUUUUACUAUGCUUAUUAACCUUGAUCACAUUAGUGAUUCAUUCAAGGUAAUAAACCUCUCUAAUAAAGCUUGUUUACAAUAGCUUGCCAACCUCCUCUUCAAUAAUCUUUUGUCUUUCCUGGGCAAAGGUCUUCUUCGUUUACCAAACUAAUUUUAAUGUUUGAGUUAGUGUGCAACCUAUGGAAUAUUACAUUGAUAUCAAUUUCAGGCAUAUCAGACGAUAUUCAGGCAAAUAAAUCGGUAUUAUUUCUUAACAGUUGAAUUAACUAUUCUUUGUGUUCAAGUUUAAUUCCAAUUUACAUAUGUUUUUCAAGAAUGUUCUCCCAAAGUGGUAUAGUUAUAAGGUCUUCCAUCGGCUCAAGUCAAUUUCCGUAUGAAUCAGGUCUUUGAUUAAUUAUUUUUUUCUAUUUAGUCAUGUGGAGACCAUUUUUUAUAAAGAUAGAUCCUAACUUGAAGAUUAGUUUAUUAUUGAUAAAUGAUCAGAAUGUAAGAUUGAACAGAAGGUUUGUAUUUUUCAUUUUAGUCCUUUCUUUUGGCCAGCGUAUUAGCUCAGUCCUAAAAACAUGUAAGUAUUCAUGCUAGCUUAAGAGCUCGUUCACCUUUAAGAUCUAUUCAAAAGUUUUAAAAAUGAAACAAAAAAUGUAUCUUCUAUUGAGCUUAAGAGCUUAGAGUAGUUUAAGAGUGUUUUUUUAUUAGGUCAAUUUUAUGUUGUAGGUAUUUACUCAUAUUUUCUCAUUUUUUCCUCAAUUUCUGUUGUCUACUUCUCUUUUUAACUUUUUCGAUCUUAGCUAAACUAUCGAUCUACUUUUCAGUCCUUCUCUUCAUUAUUGUGACGUAACAUUAUCGUACCGUAAACUGAUCUCUUCUUACCUCUCCAACCCCAUGAGACAUUAGAAAUUUUACCUUUAGAUAAAGAGCUAAGCCUAUGAGCCAUAUAAUAGACUAACUAUAUCAGUCCAAUAUUAUAUUUUAGGUAAAUAGGAUGUUUAUAAUUAUAAAUUCUAUGACUAAUGUGACUGUCCUUGAUUCCAUCCCCAAAGAGAUCGAUAAUUUAAUAAUCUUUUUUACUAGUAUAUGCUCAUUCCCAAAUCUAAUUAGGGUCAUGGUGAUCGGUUGUAACUGAUCUUCUUUAAUUUUCAUCUUCUUCAUGGUGGCAUGGCACAUUAUGUUGGUCAAACUUUCAUUAUCAAACAAGAUCCUUUUAACCGCGUAAUUUUACACCACUACUAUGAUCAUUAUGGUAUCAUCAUGGGAUAUUAAAUUCUUUUCAAGUCUUUCGAACUGAAUGAGAUCGAUUGGUUUUUUCAGUCUUUCUUUUUUUUUAUUAAUAAGUUAAUAAGCAUGACUAUGUCUUGAUUAGAUUUUUUUUUAACCGAGGAGAGCUCAUUCUAAUAAUCAUGUUAAUUUUUCAAUAACUAUUUUGUUAUCGGUAGUUUGGCCUUUCUUCUGUCUUUGCCCAUCUCUUUGAGUUUUUUUUCCUAUUUUCUUUUGGCCUACCUUCUUUAUCCCUUAUAGGUUCUCUUUAGUCCCAUCUAUAGUCGAUUUAUUUUACCCUUGCUUUGGUCAAUCUAUAAACUAUCGCAUCUAACCUCUUAUGAUCAAAGCUUCAAUCUCGUUUUUGAGGUUAACACAGUCUUCAAUGUUGUGACUUAUAUCUCUAUGGAAGGCACAUCUUUUGGUCGAAUCCCUCUUUAUGUUUUACCUCAGUAGCUUUGAUAAUCUAAGCUUUGGAUUUCUUUUGAUUUGUGUCAAAAUCUUCUAUCAAGAGAUAUUCAAUACAAUAUAAUUUUUUUUUCUAUUAGGGCUUAUGGCCCUAUGUAGUCUCUCUCUUAAGGAAAGAUCAUAGAAAUCUUUAUCUUUUUUACAACCAAGGAAGAGGAAUGAGCCUCUUUCACCUAGGCCACCAAAAAGAAGGAUGAGCCUCUCUCACGUCGGUUAUUUCUUAUUGUAGCUUCAAUAUUUUAUGUAUUUCUCAGCUAUAAGUAGGACGUUGGUCAAAGUCUUGGACGUCUUUAAAGAAAAAGUCAGCUUGAUGUGGUAUUCUUUGUCAUUGAGUCCACUUGUUUUAGGUCUUUCACUUAUAAGGUUUUCACAUUAAAAUACGUGAUAUAAUCUUUAAAGAUUCAUUCCAACCUUGAUGAAUCGACAUCAAACUUAAUGUCAUCUUUUUCAUUCUUCGACUACUUACAAAUUAAGACCAGAAAAAUGGUUGAGCUCUUUAAAUAUCACGAUUGACCUUAGUUUUUGGCCACUAUACUAUGAUCAAGCUCCGCCCUUAAGGGUAGUAGCAAAGCCUUUACACAUCAAAGCUUCAUUUGCACCAUGCAUCAUCAUAUUAGUUUUAUAAAGUUUAGAUAAUCAAAGGGAUCAAAAAUACCAUCAUAAAUUUCUAAAGUCGACAUUUUGAACCCUUUUAGAGGCAUAACUUUGUCAAUUUCUUCAAUGAAGGGUAAUAUUUCCAAAAUUUUGAGCUCACACUCAAAAGCUACUACCUUCACUUUUAACUCUUUCUCCAUGGCUUACAUCUGAGCUUUCAAGUCUCUGUUUGGUUGGGGUUCCAGGUCAAUUUAUUUUGAUCUUUAGGUUGUAGUGUUUAUUGAGUUGUGACUUUGGUAGUGGUGAGCGAUUGGAUAUCAUGGUCUUCUUUCCUGAAAGUCGAGAAGGCUUUUACCUCUUCAUAGCUUGAUUGCCUUUCCAUAACUUAUUGGCUAGAGGUGAUUAGGUCAAGUACCUUUGAGGCCUAUAGUGAAGUUAUAAUCUAUAACAUUUGCUUAAGAGCUUGUAUUUGCUCGGUUAGAGCCUAAAAUUGGUCCACGGUUGGACCAGCCUAUUAUAGGGCAGAUCGAUCUUAAUGCUAGCUAUUAUGUGUUUCUAUUCUGACCAGGGUGGCAGUCUCUCUUUCCUCCAAAACUCUUUUCUUAUGUGACAUUUUCUUAUGCCCGGUUGAUGAAUAGAAAGCCCUUACCUGGCAUGCUAAAUGUUAGUGUUGAGCUCCAAUAUGAUAGUACUCUUGGAAGAAUAAGAAAGAGAAAAGAGCGAUUAGAUGCGAAGGUUGGGAAUAUUCCCUGCUUUUAUACUUUGACACACAAGUUAAAGAUCAAAAUGAAAAGAGAUUGAAAUGAGAGAAAAGCAAAUGGUUAAAGCAAAAUAGAACCUGGGAUAAUAAUACAUUGAUGUCUUUAUUUUUUGAUGAGAGAUAAAAGACCAAUGGGAAACAAUAGUGAUGUGGUCAAACUAAUGUAGUACUAAACGUGUCAAGUCAGCUCAAAUAUCUAAAAUACCCUUAAUUAUUUACAAGAGUCUCUAAUGAGUAAAAGACUAUCAUACCCUUUGAACCACUAAAUACUUCCAACAAAAGCAUUAUUUGUCACAAUUACAAGCAAGUGCUCCAUGCAACAACAAAACAAAACAUCUAAAACCAAUCAUUUCAAUGUACUAUUUAGUUAAAGAAAAUAAAGUUUCUAUGAAUCCCAUUAAGUUCUUCAUUUUUAAAGAGGAAAAUGGACAUUUUAUUUUGUAUAUUUUUUCUCUGAUUAUGUCUAUCCAUCCCUCUAAAUAUUUUUUAAAAUUUUUUUUAUAAGAUUUGAAUUAUUAUUUUCAACAAAUUAAAUUUUAACAUGCAUGAUAAAGAGUAUUAUCAAGUUUACGAUAAAUAUGAUAAUUUUUAAAUAUGAUAUAAAAAUAAAAUGAAAAUGAAAAUAAUGAGUUAAUAUUUUAACAAAAAUUAUAUAUAUUUAGUAAAAAUUAAAAAAAAUUGGUAUUUGAUAUAACACGUAUUUAACAUAAUUAUUUUUAUAUUUUAUUCAUAUUUAACAUAAAAUAAAUAUAAUACAGAUGCCCGAAUGUUCAAACUACAACCAAAAACAGGAUUUUUUUCACCUAAUAAUCCUGCAAAAAAACACAAGCAACAAUCAUAAAUUACUCAUCAAAAACCAUAAUUAUCUUUCAAUAUAAAUUAUUGGAAAAAAAAUAAUUGCUGUCUUUCACAGUUGAAAAGGCUGCCAAGUUCACAAAUUGAAUUGUACAACUUAUCCAUGUGUUUCACAUCCUUAAAAACGUUAGUCGUAUUUGAAAUUGAAGCUUCAUGAGAAAGAGACAGGAAGUUUCCCUUCUCAAUUAACCAAGGCUUCCAACUAAGACAGCAUUCUAAAAUUUGAUUCAUGAAAUGUCCCCACAUAAAUUAAUUUAAUAAGAAAAAGAAUAUCAUUUUUUGGGUAUGUUUUGUUAAGGUCGGUAAAGCCAACAUACAUCCUCUAUUUUUUGCUAUCUUUAUUAACCUUGAUCAUAUUAAUGAUUCAUUCAAGGUAAUAAACAUCUUUAAUGAAGCUUGUUUACAAUAGCUUGCCAACCUCCUCUUCAAUAAUCUUUUAUCUUUCUUGGGCAAAGGUCUUUUUCUUUUACCAAACUGAUUUUAAUGUUUGAGUUGGUGUGCAACCUAUGGAACAUUACAUUGAUAUCAAUUUCAGGCAUAUCAGACAAUGUUCAGGCAUAUCAGACAAUGUUCAGGCAAAUAAAUCAGUAUUAUUUCUUAAAAGUCGAAUUAACUAUUCUUUGUGUUCAAGUUUAAUUCUAAUUUACAUAUGUUUUUCAGGAAUGUUCUACCAAAAUGGUAUAGUUAUAAGGUCUUCCAUCGGCUCAAGUCAAUUCCCGUCUGAAUCAGGUCUUUGAUCAAUUACUUUUUUCUAUUUAAUCAUGUGGAGACCAUUUUUUAUAAAGAAAGAUCCUGACAUGAAGAUUAGUAUAUUAUUGAUAAAUGAUCAGAAUGUAAGAUUGAACAGAAUGUUUGUAUUUUUCAUUUUAGUCCUUCUUUUGGCCAACGUGUUAGCUUAGUCCUAAUAACAUGUAAGUAUUCAUGCUAGUUUAAGAGCUCGUUCACCUUUAAGAUUUAUUCAAAAUUUUUAAAAAUGAAACAAAAAAUGUAUCUUCUAUUGAGCUUAAGAGCUUAGAGCAGUUUAAAAGUGUUUUUCUAUUAGGUCAAUUUUAUGUUGUAGGGGCUUACUCAUAUUUUCUCAUUUUUUUCUCAAUUUUUGUUGUCUACUUCUCUUCUUCAACCUUCUUGAUCUUAGCUAAACUAUCGAUCUACUUCUCAGUCCUUCUCUUCAUUAUUAUGACGUAACAUUAUCGUACCGUGAACUGAUCUCUUCUUACCUCUCCAACCCCAUGAGGCAUUAAAAAUUUUACCUUUAGAUAAAGAGCUAAGCUUAUGAGCCAUAUAAUAGACUAACUAGAUCGAUCCAAUAUCAUAUUUUAGGCAAAUAGGAUGUUUAUAAUCAUAAAUUCUGUGACCAAUGUGACUGUCCUCGAUUCCAUCCCUAAAGAUAUCGAUAAUUUAAUAAUCCUUUUUACUAGUACCGCUCAUUCCCAAAUCUAAUUAGGGUCGUGGUGAUCAGUUGUAACUGAUCUUCUUUAAUUUUCAUCUUCUUCAUGGUGGCAUGGCACAUUAUGUUGGUCAAAUUUUCAUUAUCAAACAAGAUCCUUUUAACCACGUAAUUUUACACCACUAUUAUGAUCAUUAUGGUAUCAUCAUUGGGUAUUAAAUUCUUUUCAAGUCUUUCGAACUGAAUGAGAUCGAUUGGUUUUUCCACUCCUUGUUUUUCUUUGUUGAUAAGUCAAUAGGCAUGACUAUGCCAUGAUUAGAUUUUUUUUUUUUUAGCCGAAGAGAGCUCAUUCUAAUAAUCACGUUAAUUUCUCGAUAACUAGUCUGUUAUCGGUAGUUUGGCCUGUCUCCUGUCUUUGCCCAUCUCUUUGAGAUUUUUUUUCCUCUUUUCUUUUGGCCUACCUUCUUUAUCCCUUAUGGGUUCUCUUUAGUCCCAUCUAUAGUCGGUUUAUUUUACCCUUGCUUUUGUCAAUCUAUAAACUAUCACAUCUAACCUCUUAUGAUCAAAGCUUCAAUCUUAUUUUUGAGGUUAACAUAGUCUUCAAUGUUAUGACUUAUAUCUCUAUGAAAGGCACAUCUUUUGGUCGAAUCCCUCUUAUGUUUUGCCUCAGUAGCUUUGAUCAUCUAAACUUUGGAUUUCUUUUGAUUUGUAUCAAAAUCCUCUAUCAAGAGAUAUUCAAUACAAUAUAAUUUCUUUUUCUAUUAGGGCUUAUAGCCCUAUGUAGUCUCUCUCUUAAGGAAGGAUCAUAGAAAUUUUUAUCUUUUUUACAACCAAAGAAGAGGAAUGAGCCUCUUUCACCUAGGCCAUCAAAAAGAGGGAUGAGCUUCUCUCACCUCGAUUAUUUCUUAUUGUAGCUUCAACAUUUAUGUAUUUUUCAGCUAUAAGUAGGACGUUGGUCAAAGUCUUGGACAUCUUUAAAGAUAAAGUUAGCUUGAUGUAGUAUUCUUUGUCAUUGAGUCCACUUGUUUUAGGUCUUUCACUUAUAAGGCUUUCACGUUAAAAUACGUGAUAUAAUCCUUUAAAAAUUCAUUCCAACCUUAAUGAAUCGACAUCAAACUUAAUGUCAUCCUUUUCAUUCUUCAACUACUUACAAAUUAAGACUAGAAAGAAUGGCUGAGCUCUUUAAAUAUCACGAUUGACCUUAGUUUUAGCCACUAUACUAUGAUCAAGCUACGCCCUUAAGGGAAGUAGCAAAGCCUUUACACAUCAAAGCUUCGUUUGCACCCUGCAUCAUCAUAUUAGUUUUAUAAAGUUUAAAUAAUCAAAAGGAUCAAAAAUACCAUCAUAAGUUUCUAAGGUCGACAUUUUGAACCCCUUUAGAGGCAUAACUUUGUCAAUUUCUUCAAUGAAGGGCAACAUUUCCAAAAUUUUGAGCUCACACUCAAAAGCUACUACCUUCACUUUUAGCUCUUUCUCCGUGGCUUACAUCCGAGCUUUCAAGUCUUUGUUUGGUUGGGGUUUCAAGUCGAUUUAUUUUUAUAUUUGGGUUGUAGUGUUUAUUGAGUUAUGACUUUGGUAGUGGUGAGCAACUAGAUAUCAUGCUCUUCUUUCUUGAAAGCUGAGAAAGCUUUUACCUCUUCAUAGCUUGAUUGCCUUUCCAUAACUUAUUGGCUAGAGAUGAUUAGGUCAGGUACCUUUGAGGCCUAUAGUGAAAUUAUAAUCUAUAACAUUUGCUUAAGAGCUUGUAUUUGCUCGGUUAGAGCCUAAAAUUGGUCCCGGUUGGACUAGCCUAUUAUAGGGUAGGUCGAUCUUAAUGCUAGCUAUUAUGUGUUUCUAUUCUAACCAGGGUGGCAGUCUCUCUUUCCUCCAAAACUCUUUUCUUAGGCGACAUUUUCUUAUGCCCGGUUGAUGAAUAGAAAGCCUUUACCUGACGUGCCAAAUGUUAGUGUUGAGCUCCGAUAUGAGAGUACUCUUGGAAGAACAAAAAAGGGAAAAAAACGAUUAGAUGCGAAGGUUGAGAAUAUUCCCUGCUUUUAUAUUCUGACACACAAGUUAAAGAUCAGAAUGGAAAGUAAGGUUGGCAUCGGGUCAGGUUCGGGGUGGGUUUUGCUCGCCCCGAACUCGACCCCACUUUAUGCUUUAUUAAACUCGAAUUCGACUUUACCCGAAAAUUAUUUUGUUUUUUCAUACCCGAACCCGACCCGAUAUUAUGUAAAUCGUACUUGACUCGACCCGACCCGACCCGAAAUUAAUAAAAUAUUAUUUUUUAAAAUAUAAAAUAUUAUUUUUUAAAUAUAAAUAUUUAAAAAAUAUCAUUAUAUAAAUAUAUAAAUAAAUAAAAAAUUAAAUAAUUAAUUAAAAAUAUUUUUUUAUAUAAUAUCGAGUCGGAUCGGGUUUUAGGUAAACCCAAACCCAACCCGACCCGACCCGAAACUCGAAUUUCAAAAAAAAAAAAAAUCGACUCCAUAGGGUCGAGUCAGGCCGAAACCUGUCAAGAACGGGUUAGUUCGUCGUCCCUAAUGAAAAGAGAUCGAAAUGAGAGAAAAGUAAAUGGUUAAAGCAAAAUAGAACCUGGGAUAAUAAUACAUUGAUGUUUAUAUUUUUUAAUGAGAGAUAGAAGACUAAUGAAAAACAAUAAUAAUGUGGCCAAACUAAUAUAAUACUAAACGUGUCAAGUCAACUCAAAUAUCUAAAAAACUCCUAAUUAUUUACAAAAAUCUCUAAUGAGUAAAAAACUAUCAUACCCUUUAAACCAUUAAAUACUUCUAGCAAAAGCAUUAUUUGCCACAAUUACAAGCAAGUGCUCCACAACAACAAAACAAAACAUCUAAAACCAAUCAUUUCAAUGUACUAUUUAAUCAGAGAAAAUAAAGUUUCUAUGAAUCCCAUAAAGUUCUUUAUUUUUAAAAAGGAAAAUAAACAUUUUAUUUUGUAUAUUUUUUCCUGUUUAUGCCUAUCCAUCCCUUUAAAUAUUUUUUUAAAUUUUUUUUAUAAAAUUUGAAUUAUUAUUUUCAACAAAUUAAAUUUUAACAUGCAUGAUAAAGAGUAUUAUCAAGUUUAUGAUAAAUAUGAUAAUUUUAAAUAUGAUAUAAAAAUAAAAUAAAAAUAAAAAUAAUGAGUUAAUAUUUUAACAAAAAUUAUAUAUAUUUAGUAAAAAUUAAAAAAAAUUGAUAUUUGAUAUAACACGUAUUUAACGUAAUUAUUUUUAUAUUUUAUUCAUAUUUAACAUAAAAUAAAUAUAAUACAUAUGCCCGAAUGUUCGAACUGCAACCAAAAACAAGAUUUUUUUCCACCUAAUAAUCCUGCAAAAGAACACAAGCAACAACCGUAAAUUACUCAUCAAAAACCAUAAUUAUCUUUCAAUAUAAAUUAUUGGAAAAAAAACAACUGCUGUCUUUCACAGUUGAAAAGGCUGCCAAGUUCACAAAUUGAAUUGUACAACUUAUCCAUGUGUUUCACAUCCUUAAAAACAUUAGUCGUAUUCGAAAUUGAAGCUUCACGAGAAAGAGACAGGAAGUUUCCCUUCUCAAUUAACCAAGGCUUCCAACUAAGACAACAAUCGUGGCAUUCCAAAAUUUGAUUCUUGAAAUGUGCCCCACAUAAAUUAAUUUAAUAAGAAAACAAACUAAAUUAUUGCACUUCUAUAGUUUCAAUUUAUCACGAAAUUAAUUAAAUUUCAUUUCUCCAUUUGAAAUAAAAGCAUAAGCGAAUCAAUUUCUCAUUGCACUUCUAUAGCUUCAAUCUAUCACGAAAUUUAUUAAAUUUCAUUUCUAAAAGCAUAAGCGAAUCAAUUUCUCACAGUAGAGUGUUUCACUUAAAAUUUAAAAAUAAUAAAAUUUUAAAAAUCUUUAGAAUAUCUUAAAAUUUUUUUAAUAUUUUACAUCAAUAAAAUUAAUAAAUUCGUAAAUAAUUAUGGUAGAUAUGAACUUUCAACAUUUUAGAUAAAAUGUCGAUGAUCUCACAAAUAGUAAUAUUAAAAAGGAUGCAGUCGAUAAUAUUAAUAAUCAUGUAAUUAUUUUUUAAAAAUAUAAAAAUUUGUAGUAACAAUUAUAAUAAUAUAAUAAUAAUUACUUUAAAUUUUAUUUAUAAUUUUUACAAAUAUUAUAAAUAAACACCCAUCAAAAAAAUCUUAAAUCAACAUUAAAAAGGGGAGAUUUAUUUACCGUUUCUCGGAACCAAGUGGAUUCAUUUUUUUUUUCAACAAUUUCAAUGGUUUCAUUUUCUCAAAAAAGAAAAGAAAAAGGAAAACCGUGACUGUGAUUUUCCGAUGAAAAUGAAGGAGGGAAGCUGGGAAAGCACGUGAGCAAUUAGAGAAGAAGAAAAAAUAAUGGGCAUGAAUCCUCUGGAUUUGACCAAACCCAUUCACCUUGGAUCAUCAAAUACGGGUCUAAUCCCACUUGAAUAAUAUCCUUUAUGCUACUUAUAAAUUGAGGGGUGAGGGAAAAGAAGGGGAAAAACAAAGGAGAAAUAAAAAAAAAAAAAAAUUUCUUAUUUAAUUUAUCAUUUACAUUUUAAUAAAGGAAAGAAAGUUGAGCAUCUAUCCUUGUUUCUCAAAAGUUUCAAUUUUUAAUUAUCUUAAAUUGAAAUAAACUAAAAGAAAAGGAAAGGAUUAAAAUUUUUUAAAUAUAAAAUAAUUUUUAUAUUUUUAUUAUAUUUUAUUAUUUUUCAAAAAGUAUUAUUAUUAUAAUAUUUAAGCUUAACCAUUGCUACAACCUUUAAAUCUUUUGCAAUUCAUUCCUCAAUUUUUUUUUUCUAUUAAUAAUUUUGAAUUCUAUAUAUUUUUUAAUUUAUGGUUAGGUCUAAAUUUUUUUUUAUUUUGUUAUCACUUCACAAUUUCGAAUAAUAAAAUUAAAAGAAUAUGACGAAAUAUGUACAAUUGUACAAAAAUACUAAUACUUAAACAAAUUUAUGUUAGUUUUAUCUUAAUAAUAAGUCUUUAAAUAUUUAAUUUUUCUCAUUUAUAGAUUAAUUUUGAAAAAAAUAUUGUAGUAGAAAAUUAAUUCCAAACGUGCAUUUUUAUUUUUAUUUUUUUCUUAUUCUUUUUUUUUCCUUUCCUUUUUUUUAGUAACUUUAAUCCAAACAUAGACUUAAAAUUUAUGUUUGAUACAUUAUCAAUAUAUAGAUUCUUUACACUAUCGUUCAAUCAAAUAAUACAACUUCAUUAAUCACCAAACAUAAAUCUUUAUUAGCCAUUAAAAUAAAUACACAAACUUUUUUUUUAAAUCCUUACUAUUAAAUUGACAUCAUUAAUUAAUUGAUAGUGUAUAUAAUUUAUAUAUUAACAAUAUAUCAAAUACAAAAAAUAUUCUUUAACACUUUUUGUUAAUGCUAUUUAAUUUGUUAUUGUUCUUUUUUAUAUUUAAAAAAUUAAAUAGUGAAAUGAAAAAUAUAUAGAAUGAGCAAGGUAGCUCAUUAAUUUAACAAAAAGGUAAUUUUUUUCAAUAUUUCUCAAGGUAAAUUAAAUUAAUAAAAAAUCUUCAAAAUUGAUUUAUAGUAAAUUUUUAAAAUUUUUCGACAUAAAUUAAAUUAUGAAAUUUCCUUAAAAAGUAAAAAAUAAUAAACAAAAGUAUUUGUAUAAAGUAGUUUCAAUAAAUAUGAGUAAAAUAUCAUAAAGCUUUGAUGUUUAUUAGUAAUAAUUUAAUCACAUUUUGAGAUUUUAUUUUAAAUGAUAAUUUUAUUUUAUAAUUACAUUGUUAUCAUUAAAAAAUUUAUUAGUAUUUUUUAUUCCAUAAAUAAAUAUAUACGUUAAGUUAUGCAAUAAAACAUAAAAUAUUUUUUAAAUACAUGUAAAUAACACCUGCAACAGCAAUUAAUUUUCACAUAUUUAAUUUUCAUAAUUAAAAAAAUUAUGAUUAUAUUAACAUUAAUAUAUAUUAAAACAAAAUAAAUAAACAAUUAUGUAAAUAAACAAUUACUGUUUAACAUGAUUUAAUUUAAAAUUAUUUUUAAUUGUUAGUUCAAUGAAAAAUUAUAAAUAUAAAAAAUAUUUCCAGCGAAGCGAGGGAAACAUGUAGAUCUUUAUACAUUAAGGCAUUAGUAGUGUAUGACUCAUCAAUUGUUCAUCUACUUGUUCUACCCAGCAACUUCCGUGAAAGGCUGAUCCCCUUUCUAUUCAUUCAGAGAAGAAAAAAAAAAUCUAUGAUUCUAUAUGAUUGACAUCUACAAAUGGUGUCUUCUCUACUCAUAAUUGGGCAUGCUUAGAACUGGAAACGUUUUACUUACAAUUUUAUUAUAAUCUUGUAAUUAAUUAAUUAUAAUAAAAAUUUAUAUAAGAAUCUAUCUCUUAUAAAUGUGAAUUUUAUUUUAUUUUAAGGUAAUAAUUAAUUAUAAUGUAAUAAUUAUAAGUGAUUUACUUCUUUGAAAAAAUAGUUACCCUCCAUGGUGUCUGUUUGUGGUGUUAGUUAUUGAUUUAUAACAUUUUUUUAGUAAUGCAAUAGCUUUAUGUUUAAAUGGGAUAUAACAUUUAUGAUCAUAUUAACAUACUAAUAAUGUAUUAAAAUUUUUAAAUAUGAUAUAAUGAGAUAUGUAGUAAUCCUUUAACUUUUUAAGAAUAAAUAUAAGAUAGAAUUUUAUUAAAAAAAACAAAUAUAAUGUACACAUUUAUGAUCAAAUUGGGUUAUUGUAAUAAAUCAUACACAACUUCAAUCAAGCUCCACUUCAAUGGUACUUUUUUAUUUGGGAAUAAGGAAUACUUUUUUGGAUAAAAGGAAAAGGAAUAUCUAUCAGAAUUGAAAACCAAUCAGAAUAUAUACCUAUUCUAUUUGGCUUACAAAUUAAUUAUUCCUAGUUUUCUAUCUACCAUCGUCACAAGAGUAUAUCAUUUAUAGUAAUUAUAAUAUAAUUAAUUAAUUACAAUUUAAAAUUAUGUGAGGUCGAUCAAAAUUUUAUAUAAAAUUAAAAUUUAUAAGUGAUAGACCAUUAUAUAAAUUUUUAUUAUGAUUUGAUAAUUAUAACAUUAUAAUAAAAAAAGUUGUAAUUGAAUACCACAUCACCACUUUUUUUAUAAUUAAAUAACAUAAGCAAAUUCCCUUUUAUAUGUUAUAUAUAUAAUUACCUUUAUUAUUAUUAUUAUUAUUAUUAUUAUUAUUAUUAUUAUUAUUAUUAUUAUCAAGAUUAAAUACAAAAAUAGUUCAUAUACUAUAUACUUUUUAUCAAUUUAAUAUUUUAAAAAAUAAAUUUCAUUAUUAGGUAUUGAACUUUCAUUCUAUCAUAUGCUUUCAUAUUCCAAAUUAAUAUUAUAAGUAAAGUUAUUGACAUGACAUAAAGCUCAAUCAUCAUCGUAUCAUUGUAGCCACGUUAAUGUUAGAAGAAAUUUUCAAAAAAUACAAUUAAAAAAAUUCAACUACCUAUAUAUUUUGCACAUAAAAUUACAAAUCCAAUCAUUGUAAAAAAAAUUUAAUUCUAUUGAACUUUUUAUUUCUAAAGCUAAACCUUUUAAUGAUUGCUUUUAUUCUUUAUUUUUUAAAAAAUUUAUUAGUUAGAUUUUAAUAGUUCUUUAAAUAUUCAACAAAUUCCUUUUACAUGUAAAAAGAUAUUUAUAAUUUUUUUAUUUAAUCAUAUUAUUAUUAUAACUUUAUUUAAUAUUAUAUUUUUAUUACAUUUUCAUCAAUUCAUCUUAUUUUCAUAUCGAACCCUCCAAAACAAAAAAUAUGGUUUCGCCCCUACUCUUAGUUACUGAAUUAUAUCAAUCAAGAUUAGAUUAACUCUGUGUAGGGUAAAGUUUGAGGAAUCAAUUCAGUGCGAUCAGAUGGCGACCAUGGUUCAGUAUCGUUUCUCGAUGACAAGGCAAUUUGCUUACAUGAGUUUGAGCCACCGUUUCAAAGCACAAUCGGCAGAUGUUGUUGCAUCCCCUCGAAACCAAGGAAUCCGCUUUCUGCUCUCGAAGAUUUCCAGUUCCAAACUCCAUAAUUCAUGUGGUGGAGAAGGCGGUGGAAACAAUGGUGUUGGUCGUAGCUUAGGAGGUAGAGGAGAUGAGAAUUCCAACUCCAAAAACAAAUAUUCGUGGCAGGAUUUUGGCAUUCUGGGUGUUUUCCUAAGGGGAUGGAGAAACAGGGUUGCAGCAGAUCGGCAGUUUCCGUUCAAAGUUUUAAUGGAACAGAUGGUGGGAGUCAGUGCUUGUGUUGUUGGGGACAUGGCUUCUCGUCCUAAUUUUGGUCUUAAAGAGCUUGAUUUCGUUUUCUCAACUCUUAUUGUCAGUUCCAUUCUGAAUUUCACUCUCAUGUAUCUCUUGGCACCAACAACCUCAGCUUCUUCUUCAACUCUCCCUGCUAUCUUUUCAAAAUGUCCUCCAAGUCACAUGUUUGAACCUGGUGCAUACACCUUCAUGAACCGUUUUGGGACUCUUAUCUUCAAAGGGGCAGUUUUUGCUGCUGUUGGAUUUGGUGCAGGCCUUGUUGGAACUGCAAUCUCAAAUGGGUUGAUCAAAAUGAGGAAGAAAAUGGAUCCCAGCAGCUUUGAAACACUCAACAAACCUCCUCCUACCUUGUUGAAUGCCCUUACUUGGGCUAUUCAGAUGGGCGUCAGCAGCAAUUUGAGGUACCAAACCUUGAAUGGGAUUGAGUUCCUGUUGGCCAAGGGAGUCCCCCCCUUGGUAUUUAAGUCAUCAGUGGUGUUUCUGAGAUGCUUAAAUAACGCCGUCGGAGGAAUGUCAUUUGUGAUAUUAGCAAGGAUGACAGGGUCACAGAGUGUCGUUGUGGAGAAGCCAGCAAAAGUGAAGGUUUGAUCUGCUGUCCAGAAGGAGAAAUUGGUGGACGCAUUUGACAAUUUGGACACCAAUGAAUUAGUUAUUUGGUACUUUUGCAUGUUAUUUUAGUCAGUUUCCCAGGCUUUGUCUAGCAUGCGAUCAUAAUAAUUGUAAUAAGAUCCGAGGUGUAUCCGGAUAUGAUGAAAGAGAAAACUGACUUGUUUGAAAUUUAGUCUUAAAAAUAUAUUUAAAGAGCUGAAAUAAAAUCCCCAUUCCUCUAAUUAAAAAUGAAAAAGAAAUCUUUGACUUGAUCCCAUUCAAUAAAUAUACCGGUAAAGCCUAAUAUAAGAAUGCCGAAUCGUAGAGCGGAGUUAUGAAUAGCAGCGGAGUCGUUCAGAAGAACUGCCCACUCUAUUUUAUAUUCCGCAACCUAGAAAGCGAGAAAGAGAAGUCCUUUCAUUAAGCAGCAGUGAUCAACGAAGACCUAAGAGCGGAUAGCAAGUCCUUUAUCUCUUGGCUUGGGUUUGCAAGUAUUAAAAGGAUGGGCCUUGAACUGGGAACUCC